GAUCCUGGCUCAGAAUCAACGCUGGCGGCGUGCCUAACACAUGCAAGUCGCACGAGAAAGUGGAGCAAUCCAUGAGUAAAGUGGCGCACGGGUGAGUAACACGUGAAUGAUCUACCUCCGAGUGGGGAAUAACUGAGAGAAAUCUUAGCUAAUACCGCAUAACACUUACGAGUCAAAGCAGCAAUGCGCUUGGAGAGGAGUUCGCGGCCGAUUAGUUAGUUGGCGGGGUAAUGGCCCACCAAGACGAUGAUCGGUAUCCGGCCUGAGAGGGCGCACGGACACACUGGAACUGAAACACGGUCCAGACUCCUACGGGAGGCAGCAGUGGGGAAUUUUGCGCAAUGGGGGAAACCCUGACGCGGCAACGCCGCGUGGAGGAUGAAAUCCCUUGGGAUGUAAACUCCUUUCGAUAGGGAAGAUAAUGACGGUACCUAUAGAAGAAGCCCCGGCUAACUUCGUGCCAGCAGCCGCGGUAAUACGAGGGGGGCAAGCGUUGUUCGGAAUUAUUGGGCGUAAAGGGUGCGUAGGCGGUUUGACAAGUCUGAUGUGAAAUCUAUGGGCUCAACCCAUAGUCUGCAUUAGAAACUGUCGGGCUUGAGUAUGGGAGAGGUGAGUGGAAUUUCCGGUGUAGCGGUGAAAUGCGUAGAUAUCGGAAGGAACACCUGUGGCGAAAGCGGCUCACUGGACCAU
RNAcentral lists this ribosomal RNA (690 nucleotides) under uncultured Acidobacteriota bacterium. RNAcentral describes it as "bacterial SSU rRNA". It matches the Rfam family "Bacterial small subunit ribosomal RNA", at positions 15 to 737 of the family's 1533-position model. The record is from RNAcentral. Lineage: Bacteria; Pseudomonadati; Acidobacteriota.